AUUGAACGCUGGCGGCAGGCCUAACACAUGCAAGUCGAGCGGUAGCACAGGGAGCUUGCUCCUGGGUGACGAGCGGCGGACGGGUGAGUAGUGUCUGGGAAACUGCCUGAUGGAGGGGGAUAACUACUGGAAACGGUAGCUAAUACCGCAUAACGUCGCAAGACCAAAGAGGGGGACCUUCGGGCCUCUUGCCAUCAGAUGUGCCCAGAUGGGAUUAGCUAGUAGGUGGGGUAACGGCUCACCUAGGCGACGAUCCCUAGCUGGUCCGAGAGGAGGACCAGCCACAAUGGAACUGAGACACGGGCAAGACUCCUACGGGAGGCAGCAGGGGGGAAUAUUGCACAAUGGGCGCAAGCCUGAUGCAGCCAUGCCGCGUGUAUGAAGAAGGCCUUCGGGUUGUAAAGUACUUCCAGCGGGGAGGAAGGUGUUGAGGUUAAUAACCUCAGCAAUUGACGUUACCCGCAGAAGAAGCACCGGCUAACUCCGUGCCAGCAGCCGCCGUAA
RNAcentral lists this ribosomal RNA (504 nucleotides) under uncultured bacterium. RNAcentral describes it as "partial 16S ribosomal RNA". It matches the Rfam family "Bacterial small subunit ribosomal RNA", at positions 29 to 523 of the family's 1533-position model. The record is from RNAcentral.